GGAAUCCGGCAGCGGACCCCGCCAGCUGCCCCUCCGCCUCCUCCAGGCCCCGGGCCGCCCUCAGCAACGUGACGCCGCAGGCGGUUGGUAGGGCCGGGGCAGGAAGUGGUUCCUGGCGGCGGAGAGCACUUCCGGGGCAGCGCGGCAUGGCGGCGCCGGGCCGGGAAUGGUUGAAUCCCCAGCCGUGAGGAGCAAGAAGAGGCGCUGGAUGCUAAGGUGGAAAGCGGAGCUUGUGUGUGCCAGGAGGCAGGCGUGGUGAGGUGCGCUUUGGAGCGUGCUGUUGUUGGCGCUGGGCUCGGGAGGCCCCUGAACAUGGCGCUGUGUGCUGCGUGUCCCAGCCCCAAGAGAUUCCCGUGUGGAAGAAGGGAGAGGAUGAAGGAGGCCGAGGGCCCUUUUCUCGGGGCCGGCUCCUCUGUGGCCUCUUGCUUGCCGGAGAGAAGGGCUGCCCGCUGGGCACAGGGAGCGCCUUCUAGCUGCCGUCCCGUGCCCUGUCCUGCAGCCCCCUCCUCAUGCUAUGUGGAACGCCAUUGCCAGCAGUGCGGCUGCCAUUUUAGAACCUUCGCCGCAUCACAGCCGUCACCUUGGUCACCGCUGCCCCGGCCAACGCACUCGCCUCUGUGAGCUCUGUCAGCCAUGGCAGGAGCAAAGAGAGCGAGGGGCACAAUUUGCCCUAUUUUAAAUGGGAAGAGGGAGCUUGGCUUCCCAGAGGCGAAGAGGAGGAGGGGGGCCGCCUUUAAGAUCAAGCGGAGGAGGGGGCAGCGAUUCCGUUUCCAUCGCGCCUGGACCAGCGCUGUGACCACCUCCGUGGAGCCCAUGGAGGUGGAUCCACCUCUGGAUGAGCCCAUGGAGGUGGAUCCACCUCCAGAAGAGCCCAUGGAGGUGGAUCCGCCUGCGGCUCAGCUGGCCUGGCACCACACCACCGUGCCAGGCCCCGCAUCGGCGCCGUCCCUCCACCGCCGCUGGUCCAGGCGCUCGGCUCCCUACCCGCUGCGCGGCCCCCGCCCCCAGCAUUAGCUGGGUGGCAUGAGUUACCAUCUGCUCCUCCUCCGAGCCUCCUGUGGAGCCAAGUUCUCCUCUUCCCAUUUAAAUGCUGCGGGAGUUAUAGUUUAGUUGUUGUUUUUCUCGUUGCUUUUAGUGUUAAGUUUAGUGUUAGUGUUAGGAGUAGGUUAUUGUUCAUGUUUUAGAGUUAGGCAUAGGUUACUUGUAAUCUUUUAGUGUUAGGCAUAGGUUCCUGUUCUUAUGUUAGAGUUAGGCGUAGGUUACUUGUAGUCU
This is a long non-coding RNA of Lagopus leucura (white-tailed ptarmigan), 1272 nucleotides long. RefSeq lists it as uncharacterized. The transcript has 2 exons. NCBI's taxonomy places the organism in Eukaryota, Metazoa, Chordata, Aves, Galliformes, Phasianidae. The record is from RefSeq and is a predicted model, not a curated record.